UAGGGAAUCUUCCGCAAUGGACGAAAGUCUGACGGAGCAACGCCGCGUGAGUGAAGAAGGAUUUCGGUUCGUAAAACUCUGUUGUUAGGGAAGAAAAAAUGUAUAGUAACUAUAUACAAAAGAGACGGUACCUAACCAGAAAGCCACGGCUAACUACGUGCCAGCAGCCGCGGUAAUACGUAGGUGGCAAGCGUUGUCCGGAAUUAUUGGGCGUAAAGCGCGCGCAGGUGGUUUAGAAAGUCUGAUGUGAAAGCCCACGGCUCAACCGUGGAGGGUCAUUGGAAACUAAUAAACUUGAGUGCAGGAGAGAAAAGUGGAAUUCCUAGUGUAGCGGUGAAAUGCGUAGAGAUUAGGAGGAACACCGGUGGCGAAGGCGGCUUUUUGGCCUGCAACUGACGCUGAGGCGCGAAAGCGUGGGGAGCAAACAGG
RNAcentral lists this ribosomal RNA (429 nucleotides) under Verrucomicrobiota bacterium. RNAcentral's name for it is "Verrucomicrobia bacterium partial 16S ribosomal RNA". It matches the Rfam family "Bacterial small subunit ribosomal RNA", at positions 355 to 776 of the family's 1533-position model. The record is from RNAcentral. Lineage: Bacteria; Pseudomonadati; Verrucomicrobiota.